Molecule: transfer RNA, 73 nt
Filed under: Gleimia coleocanis DSM 15436
Lineage: Bacteria; Bacillati; Actinomycetota; Actinomycetes; Actinomycetales; Actinomycetaceae
Also listed under: 1 other name
Description: Actinomyces coleocanis DSM 15436 tRNA
Rfam family: tRNA
About the family: Transfer RNA (tRNA) molecules are approximately 80 nucleotides in length. Their secondary structure includes four short double-helical elements and three loops (D, anti-codon, and T loops).
Source: Rfam by way of RNAcentral
GCCUCCAUAGCCCAAUGGUAGAGGCAGUCGACUUAAAAUCGAUUCAGUGCCGGUUCGAGUCCGGCUGGAGGUA